AUGGAGGAAGAACAUACAGACCAACAGACACAACAUGGAGGAAGAACAUACAGACCAACAGACACAACAUGGAGGAAGAACAUACAGACCAACAGACACAACAUGGAGGAAGAACAUACAGACAACAUGGAGGAAGAACAUACAGACAACAUGGAGGAAGAACAUACAGACAACAUGGAGGAAGAACAUACAGACACAACAUGGAGGAAGAACAUACAGACACAACAUGGAGGAAGAACAUACAGACCAACAGACACAACAUGGAGGAAGAACAUACAGACAACAUGGAGGAAGAACAUACAGACAACAUGGAGGAAGAACAUACAGACACAACAUGGAGGAAGAACAUACAGACACAACAUGGAGGAAGAACAUACAGACCAACAGACACAACAUGGAGGAAGAACAUACAGACCAACAGACACAACAUGGAGGAAGAACAUACAGACCAACAGACACAACAUGGAGGAAGAACAUACAGACACAACAUGGAGGAAGAACAUACAGACCAACAGACACAACAUGGAGGAAGAACAUACAGACACAACAUGGAGGAAGAACAUACAGACCAACAGACACGACAUGGAGGAAGAACAUACAGACCAACAGACACCACAUGGAGGAAGAACAUACAGACACAACAUGGAGGAAGAACAUACAGACCAACAGACACAACAUGGAGGAAGAACAUACAGACACAACAUGGAGGAAGAACAUACAGACCAACAGACACCACAUGGAGGAAGAACAUACAGACCAACAGACACAACAUGGAGGAAGAACAUACAGACCAACAGACACAACAUGGAGGAAGAACAUACAGACACAACAUGGAGGAAGAACAUACAGACCAACAGACACAGUGUUAUAGGCAGACAGACAGACAGAUGGAAACAGAGACGGACAGACAGACAGACGGAAGGACAGAUUGACAGACAGACAAAAUGUGAUAAAGGCAGACAGACAGAAGGACAGAUUGACAAACAGACAAAAUGUGAUAAAGGCAGAUAG
Molecule: long non-coding RNA, 1011 nt
Filed under: Oncorhynchus kisutch (coho salmon)
Lineage: Eukaryota; Metazoa; Chordata; Actinopteri; Salmoniformes; Salmonidae
Description: lncRNA (ENSOKIG00005037586.1)
Source: RNAcentral